UGGCUGUAAUAGGUGGAUCUGCCCAGCAGCCUCCAGACCACUGUUUGAAGUCUUCACUGCUCUCAGACAGAACCACCUCCUCCACAACAGCUGCAGGAUUUUGAAGCUCAACUUCUAUCUCGCUGUUAUUUGAUGGAAUUAUCUUCUUUUGUGGAGACAAGAACUUGCUCGGUAGACCAGACUGGUCUUGAACUCCCAAUGCCUUUGCCUCCCCAGUGGUAGGAUUAUAGGUCUGUGUCACCACUCCUGGCAAUUGGAAGUCUGACUUGAUCUUAAGUUCUCUUUCCUCUUUCCCUUUUUAAUCUCAUCCACACCAGGCUUGAAUUGCUACCCUUUUGGACAUGACUUGUUCGUUUUCCUACUAUCUUUAGAUCUCUGGGCUCCAAGAAUCCCUAGAAUAGUUUAUGGGUGAUCAGAACACCUCAAGUCCCUGACUGAUUCUAUUUUCUCUACUCCAUCUUUCCUUUAGUCUGUUGCUUGGUCCAUAUGCUUGGGCAGAAGAAAGGCAUGCCAAUGAGAGUAUGUGGUAGAGGAGGUUUUCACUUCACAGUGAACAAGCGGAGCGGAACAUCAACAGGAUAGAACCGGGGAAAGAUAUAAUCCCAAAGGACAAGCCCUGAGUGACCUAUUCUUUCCAGUUUCCAUUUUCCACCACGCCACCCCCUGCCAACGAUCUCUUAAAAUGUUAAACCUGCCACAGGGUUAAACCAUUCACUAGGUCAGAGCCUCAUGAUCUAAUUGCUUCAGAACACGAUGUGUUUUACUAUUUUUGUGGACAUCCCUUAAUCUAGUCAAAUUGACCCUCAGUGUCAACCAUCACAAUGUCCAUGUGCAGAUAUUUGUGUGCACUUAAGUUUUCCGCUUCUUUGACCAGACAACAAGAGUGCAUUUGUUGGAUUAUAUAGUGCAAGUCUAUCUAGUUUGGGGAGGAGUUAUCAGUGCAUUCCAACAUGGCUGUUGCAUUUUACAUUCCCACCCUCAGGGAAUGGGAGUGCCUGCUGCCCAUAGCCGCGACAUCAUUUGUUCUCAGAAUUCUGGAUUUUAACCAUUCAAACAGGUGUGUGGUUAGUGAACUUUGAGUUAGUCAAACUCUAAUUACAGAAAAGUGCAUGAAUCAUAAUUAUAAAGCUGAGUGACUUUCACAGGCCAAACACAGCCAUAAUAACAAAGAUUCAGAAAAGAAAAUUCAGAGCACUUUGCACACAUAGAAGCCAUUUCAGUCAUGACCUCAGAAGGAGAUCACGGUUAGAUCUACCAUGGAAUUUGCCUGGCCUUGUACCGAAUGGGUGGAAUAAUAUGAAUUUGAGACCAGCCUGGUUACAAAGCGAGUUUUAGGAUGGCCAGACCUGUUACAUAGAGAAACCCUGUCUUGUGCACUGCCACCAAGUUACAAGUUCAACCAUACUUAAUGUGCAAUCAUGAUGCUAAGCACAAUCAUGUCUCAAACUGUCACUGUAGAAACACGGUCAAAGGAUGGAGUCCUUCGAGAAAACCCCAAGUAAACAAGAGCCUUGUGAGUUCAGUUUCUUCAAAACAGAACUGUUCUUGGAAUAUAGUUUCAUGCUCCUCCCAGGUGUAGUGGAUAGGAAUGAGUUUACUUCAGAUUUCUCAUUAUUGCUUGCUGCUGUCAUUCAAUUAGAUGCUUCUAUGCCUCUAUGGAAAAACAUGUUUGCCAAGUGCAGCUUGUUCUUGUUAUUGUAUACUUUACACAUUAUUCUUAAUCCUCAGAAUUGUCUGAUGCUCUGAAUAAAGUUGGCUACUGCAUGGGA
Long non-coding RNA from Peromyscus maniculatus bairdii (prairie deer mouse), 1769 nucleotides. RefSeq lists it as uncharacterized. The record is from RefSeq and is a predicted model, not a curated record. Lineage: Eukaryota; Metazoa; Chordata; Mammalia; Rodentia; Cricetidae.